Rattus norvegicus (Norway rat) is the source of this 69-nucleotide non-coding RNA. NCBI's taxonomy places the organism in Eukaryota, Metazoa, Chordata, Mammalia, Rodentia, Muridae. The record is from Rfam.
GGGGAUUUAGCUCAGUGGUAGAGCACUUGCCUAGCAAGCACAAGGCCCUAGGUUCGACCCCCAGCUCCG